UAUGGAUGCCUUAAACGUCAGCCUC
Molecule: non-coding RNA, 25 nt
Filed under: Mus musculus (house mouse)
Lineage: Eukaryota; Metazoa; Chordata; Mammalia; Rodentia; Muridae
Source: RNAcentral